UACGUAGGGUCCGAGCGUUGUGGAAUUACUGGGCGUAAAGAGCUCGUAGGUGGUUUGUCGCGUUGUUCGUGAAAACUCACAGCUCAACUGUGGGCGUGCGGGCGAUACGGGCAGACUUGAGUACUGCAGGGGAGACUGGAAUUCCUGGUGUAGCGGUGGAAUGCGCAGAUAUCAGGAGGAACACCGGUGGCGAAGGCGGGUCUCUGGGCAGUAACUGACGCUGAGGAGCGAAAGCGUGGGGAGCGAACAGG
This 251-nucleotide ribosomal RNA is filed under the name uncultured bacterium. Its description in RNAcentral is "partial 16S ribosomal RNA". It matches the Rfam family "Bacterial small subunit ribosomal RNA", at positions 524 to 776 of the family's 1533-position model. The record is from RNAcentral.